UGCUAUGUUGUAGGAGAUGGUCACAUGACU
RNAcentral lists this non-coding RNA (30 nucleotides) under Rattus norvegicus (Norway rat). Lineage: Eukaryota; Metazoa; Chordata; Mammalia; Rodentia; Muridae. The record is from RNAcentral.